Molecule: ribosomal RNA, 193 nt
Filed under: uncultured bacterium
Lineage: Bacteria
Description: partial 16S ribosomal RNA
Rfam family: Bacterial small subunit ribosomal RNA
Source: RNAcentral
ACUCCUACGGGAGGCAGCAGUGGGGAAUAUUGUGCAAUGGGCGAAAGCCUGACGCAGCCACGCCGCGUGAGCGAUGAAGGUCUUCGGAUCGUAAAGCUCUGUGGGGGGAGAAGAAGAAAGUCGGUGAAGAGCCGGCCCUGACGGUAUCCCCUUAGCAAGCACCGGCUAACUCCGUGCCAGCAGCCGCGGUAAU